Molecule: ribosomal RNA, 483 nt
Filed under: uncultured bacterium
Lineage: Bacteria
Description: partial 16S ribosomal RNA
Rfam family: Bacterial small subunit ribosomal RNA
Source: RNAcentral
GACGAACGCUGGCGGCGUGCUUAACACAUGCAAGUCGAACGCUGAAGCUCAGCUUUUGUUGGGUGGAUGAGUGGCGAACGGGUGAGUAACACGUGAGUAACCUGCCCCCUUCUUUGGGAUAACGCCCGGAAACGGGUGCUAAUACUGGAUAUUCACUGGUCUUCGCAUGGGGGUUGGUGGAAAGGGUUUUUCUGGUGGGGGAUGGGCUCGCGGCCUAUCAGCUUGUUGGUGGGGUGAUGGCCUACCAAGGCUUUGACGGGUAGCCGGCCUGAGAGGGUGACCGGUCACAUUGGGACUGAGAUACGGCCCAGACUACUACGGGAGGCAGCAGUGGGGAAUAUUGCACAAUGGGCGAAAGCCUGAUGCAGCGACGCCGCGUGAGGGAUGGAGGCCUUCGGGUUGUGAACCUCUUUCGCUAAUGGUCAAGCCGCAACAAUGGUUGUGGUGAGGGUAGUGGGUAAAGAAGCGCCGGCUAACUACGUG